This 490-nucleotide ribosomal RNA is filed under the name uncultured bacterium. RNAcentral describes it as "partial 16S ribosomal RNA". It matches the Rfam family "Bacterial small subunit ribosomal RNA", at positions 29 to 507 of the family's 1533-position model. The record is from RNAcentral.
AGUGAACGCUGGCGGUAGGCCUAACACAUGCAAGUCGAACGGCAGCACAGGAGAGCCUGCUCUCUAGGUGGCGAGUGGCGGACGGGUGAGGAAUACAUCGGAAUCUGCCCAGUCGUGGGGGAUAACGUAGGGAAACUUACGCUAAUACCGCAUACGACCUUCGGGUGAAAGAGGGGGAUCGCAAGACCUCUCGCGAUUGGAUGAGCCGAUGUCGGAUUAGCUAGUUAGCGGGGUAAUGGCCCACCAAGGCGACGAUCCGUAGCUGGUCUGAGAGGAUGAUCAGCCACACUGGAACUGAGACACGGUCCAGGCUCCUACGGGAGGCAGCAGUGGGGAAUAUUGGACAAUGGGCGCAAGCCUGAUCCAGCCAUACCGCGUGGGUGAAGAAGGCCUUCGGGUUGUAAAGCCCUUUUGUUGGGAAAGAAAUCUUUCAGGCUAAUACCCUGGGAGGAUGACGGUACCCAAAGAAUAAGCACCGGCUAACUUCGUG